RNAcentral lists this long non-coding RNA (761 nucleotides) under Gopherus evgoodei (Goodes thornscrub tortoise). RNAcentral's name for it is "lncRNA (ENSGEVG00005014976.1)". Lineage: Eukaryota; Metazoa; Chordata; Testudines; Testudinidae. The record is from RNAcentral.
CUGCUUUGUUCCAAAGACUACAUCUCCCAGCUGCCCCGGCACGGCCGCCUCUUCUCUCCGGGAGCGUCCCUUGCACUUGCAGAUCAGCCGCGGCUGCAGCCCUGGCUCUGCGCACCCCAGUGGGCUCAGCCCCCGGGAUUCCCCGGGCCUGAGGACAAUGGAGUCGGUGGAGAAAUGGCACAAGGAUUACAUAGCCUUCAAGCUUCUGGACAAAAAAUAUAACUCAAAGAGGAAUGAGGUUACAGUCUCUUAGGGUACGUCCAGACUAUCCGCCAUAUUGGUGGGUAGCGAUCGAUUUAUCGGGGAUAUAUCGAUCCCCGAAUGCGCUCCCGUCGAUUCUGGAACUCCAUCAGAGCAAGGGGCAGUAGCAGAGUCGACGGGGGAGCCGCGGCCAUUGAUCCUGCGCUGUGAGGAUGGGAGGUAAGUCGAAAUAAGAUACAUCGACUUCCUGUAGCUGAAGUUGCGUAUCUUUCAUCGACACCCUCCCCCAGUGUAGACUAGGUCUAAGGAACAAAGUUAUGUGGAACUGUUGUGCAAAUUCUUAAGCAUGUGCUUAACUUUAAGUAUUUGAAGUCAACAGGAUUUGCCCGUAGUGAAGUGUACCACAUACAGAAGUGUUUGCAGAAUCCUGGCUUAAGAAUGCCCACGUAUGGGGUUUGCACCAGUUGAGCAAAAGUAGCAUAAGUUUGUGUGUAGACAAGGCCUUGCCUAUCCUAUUUAUAAGGGGUGUGCUGAGUAUUCACUGCUCUCACUGAAGCCAG